Molecule: unclassified non-coding RNA, 356 nt
Filed under: Athalia rosae (coleseed sawfly)
Lineage: Eukaryota; Metazoa; Arthropoda; Insecta; Hymenoptera; Athaliidae
Description: misc RNA ENSAEAG00005012999.1
Source: RNAcentral
UACACGUAUAUAUGUGUGUAUAUAUAUAUGUAUAUAUAUUUGGAUAUUUCCGCGGGGUAAUCUCAUCGAUGGCGUCAUUAUCCACCGGGGCCAUUUCAUUAUAACAGGACCAGUUUUUUACCUGACGAAACCGAGAGAGAGAGAGAGAAAAAAACAACGACAACAACAACAACAACAACCAACUAAUCGUGACGCAGAUUAUGAUUUCUCAUCUUCUUUACCGCGGAAGACGGACGUCUGAAAACGCUCGUCUUUCCAUCGCCUCCUCCUGGCAACGGGACAAAGAAUCGUCAGGAACGCCUGCACGCCUGGGCCGCGUGCGGAUCAAUGAUGUUGGCUUCGAGUGUUCUCCUCCU